Vicia villosa (hairy vetch) is the source of this 548-nucleotide long non-coding RNA. RefSeq lists it as uncharacterized. NCBI's taxonomy places the organism in Eukaryota, Viridiplantae, Streptophyta, Magnoliopsida, Fabales, Fabaceae. The transcript has 9 exons. The record is from RefSeq and is a predicted model, not a curated record.
CAGGAAGUGCUUGGUUUCGUCCCUCAGGUACAGCAAGAGACUUUAUUGGAGCUACUGCAAAAAAGAUAACUGGAGUAACAGGUGUGGCAAGAAAUUUGUUUAAAGCCUCAGCAAACAAGUUGUUUGGAACCUCAGUUGUGGAAAGCGAUUUGGUUAAAGGCUCAGUAAACAUGAUGUAUGGAGCUACAGCUGCGGCGGACAAAUAUAUUGGGGCUUCAGCUACAGUAAACAACUGGAUUGGGUCAGAUAAUAUUAAGGGAUUUACAAAAUUCAUAUCUCUAAGUGAACUCAACAAAAAAGCAAAUGGAUAUGUCAAAAAUAAUGCUAUAAUUAUGGAGGUCGAAAUUCAUGUUACCAGAAUUAGGACUUCCUAUUAGAUAAUUAACUUAUGGUUAAUAUAAAAUAAAAUAAAGAUCAAUUUCUUUGUUGUGGUUUAUUGUGCCUUUAAUAUAAAGUUGGCUUUAGAUUGUUAUUAUGUAUUUUAUUUGGGUGUGCUUAGUAUAAAUUUUCUUUGUAAUUCUUUUUUUAUAUAUUUCAAAUAAAGUUGG